Molecule: unclassified non-coding RNA, 205 nt
Filed under: uncultured fungus
Lineage: Eukaryota; Fungi
Description: sequence contains ITS1, 5.8S rRNA gene
Source: RNAcentral
UUGAAUAACUGAAGUCAGUUGAGCUGGUCCUCUGGGCAUGUGCUCGCUGCUUCUAUUCAUUCUAUCCACCUGUGCACCUUUUGUAGAGCUUUGAAGAGGGUCUUGACUUAGGUUGAGAUUAGUAUUCGGGUUUCUAUGUCUUAUACAAACUCUUUGAAUGUCUUGAAUGUCUUUAUAGGGACUUAAUUGACCCUUUAAACUUAAA